Molecule: ribosomal RNA, 468 nt
Filed under: uncultured bacterium
Lineage: Bacteria
Description: partial 16S ribosomal RNA
Rfam family: Bacterial small subunit ribosomal RNA
Source: RNAcentral
GACGAACGCUGGCGGCGUGCUUAACACAUGCAAGUCGAACGGAAAGGCCCUGCUUUUGUGGGGUGCUCGAGUGGCGAACGGGUGAGUAACACGUGAGUAACCUGCCCUUGACUUUGGGAUAACUUCAGGAAACUGGGGCUAAUACCGGAUAGGAGCUCCUGCUGCAUGGUGGGGGUUGGAAAGUUUCGGCGGGUGGGGAUGGACUCGCGGCUUAUCAGCUUGUUGGUGGGGUAGUGGCUUACCAAGGCUUUGACGGGUAGCCGGCCUGAGAGGGUGACCGGCCACAUUGGGACUGAGAUACGGCCCAGACUCCUACGGGAGGCAGCGGUGGGGAAUAUUGCACAAUGGGCGGAAGCCUGAUGCAGCAACGCCGCGUGCGGGAUGAAGGCCUUCGGGUUGUGAACAGCUUUGGCAUGUGACGAAGCGUGAGUGACGGUAAUGGGUAAAGAAGCACCGGCUAACUACGUG